CCUACGGGUGGCAGCAGUGGGGGAUAUUGCACAAUGGGGGGAACCCUGAUGCAGCAACGCCGCGUGGGUGAAGAAGCUCUUCGGCUUGUAAACUCCUUUUGUUAGGGAAGAUAAUGACGGUAUCUGACGAAUAAGCCCCGGCUAACUCCGUGCCAGCAGCCGCGGUAAUACGUAGGGGGCAAGCUUUAUUCGGAUUCACUGGGCGUAAAGAGGGCGCAGGCGGGAUAGCAAGUCAGAAGUGAAAUCCCAUGGCUUAACCAUGGAACUGCAUGUGAAACUGUUAUGCUAGAGUACAGGAGAGGUAGGCGGAAUUCGUGGUGUAGCGGUAAAAUGCGUAGAGAUCAAGAGGAAUACCCAUUGCGAAGGCGACCUGCUAGAAUAUAACUGACGCUGAGGCGCGAAAGCGUGGGGAGCAAACAGGAUUAGAUACCCGAGUAGUC
Molecule: ribosomal RNA, 440 nt
Filed under: uncultured bacterium
Lineage: Bacteria
Description: partial 16S ribosomal RNA
Rfam family: Bacterial small subunit ribosomal RNA
Source: RNAcentral